This 19-nucleotide non-coding RNA is filed under the name Arabidopsis thaliana (thale cress). Lineage: Eukaryota; Viridiplantae; Streptophyta; Magnoliopsida; Brassicales; Brassicaceae. The record is from RNAcentral.
UGAACCAAGUCGUCGAUGA